Molecule: unclassified non-coding RNA, 21 nt
Filed under: Mus musculus (house mouse)
Lineage: Eukaryota; Metazoa; Chordata; Mammalia; Rodentia; Muridae
Description: oocyte_clustered_small_RNA2245
Source: RNAcentral
GAGGGCUGACGGAUAAUGCUU